UAACAGGAAGCAGCUUGCUGCUUCGCUGACGAGUGGCGGACGGGUGAGUAAUGUCUGGGAAACUGCCUGAUGGAGGGGGAUAACUACUGGAAACGGUAGCUAAUACCGCAUAACGUCGCAAGACCAAAGAGGGGGACCUUCGGGCCUCUUGCCAUCGGAUGUGCCCAGAUGGGAUUAGCUAGUAGGUGGGGUAACGGCUCACCUAGGCGACGAUCCCUAGCUGGUCUGAGAGGAUGACCAGCCACACUGGAACUGAGACACGGUCCAGACUCCUACGGGAGGCAGCAGUGGGGAAUAUUGCACAAUGGGCGCAAGCCUGAUGCAGCCAUGCCGCGUGUAUGAAGAAGGCCUUCGGGUUGUAAAGUACUUUCAGCGGGGAGGAAGGCGAUAAGGUUAAUAACCUUGUCGAUUGACGUUACCCGCAGAAGAAGCACCGGCUAACUCCGUGCCAGCAGCCGCGGUAAUACGGAGGGUGCAAGCGUUAAUCGGAAUUACUGGGCGUAAAGCGCACGCAGGCGGUCUGUCAAGUCGGAUGUGAAAUCCCCGGGCUCAACCUGGGAACUGCAUUCGAAACUGGCAGGCUAGAGUCUUGUAGAGGGGGGUAGAAUUCCAGGUGUAGCGGUGAAAUGCGUAGAGAUCUGGAGGAAUACCGGUGGCGAAGGCGGCCCCCUGGACAAAGACUGACGCUCAGGUGCGAAAGCGUGGGGGAGCAAACAGGAUUAGAUACCCUGGUAGUCCACGCCGUAAACGAUGUCGACUUGUAGGUUGUGCCCUUGAGGCGUGGCUUCCGGAGCUAACGC
This 800-nucleotide ribosomal RNA is filed under the name Enterobacteriaceae bacterium. RNAcentral describes it as "bacterial SSU rRNA". It matches the Rfam family "Bacterial small subunit ribosomal RNA", at positions 64 to 858 of the family's 1533-position model. Lineage: Bacteria; Pseudomonadati; Pseudomonadota; Gammaproteobacteria; Enterobacterales; Enterobacteriaceae. The record is from RNAcentral.